Molecule: ribosomal RNA, 312 nt
Filed under: uncultured fungus
Lineage: Eukaryota; Fungi
Description: SSU rRNA
Rfam family: Eukaryotic small subunit ribosomal RNA
Source: RNAcentral
UGACCUACUAAAUAGCUCUACUUGCGAUUGCAGGUAGCUAGCUUCUUAGAGGGACUAUCUAUUACAAGUAGAUGGAAGUUCGAGGCAAUAACAGGUCUGUGAUGCCCUUAGACGUUCUGGGCCGCACGCGCGCUACACUGACGGAGCCAGCGAGUCGACCAAGCCCGAGAGGGCUAGGUAAUCUUGUGAAACUCCGUCGUGCUGGGGAUAGAGCAUUGCAAUUAUUGCUCUUCAACGAGGAAUUCCUAGUAAGCGCAAGUCAUCAGCUUGCGUUGAUUACGUCCCUGCCCUUUGUACACACCGCCCGUCGCU